AACGAACGCUGGCGGCAUGCCUAACACAUGCAAGUCGAACGAGACCUUCGGGUCUAGUGGCGCCUGGGUGCGUAACGCGUGGGAACCUGCCCUUAGGUUCGGCCUAACUCUCCGACUGGGGUGCUAAUACCGGAUCAUGUCUUCGGCCCAAUGAUUUAUUGACCUUGGUUGGGCCCGCGUUGGAUUAGCUCGUUAGUAGGGUAAUAGCCUACCCAGGCGACGAUUCAUAGCUUGGUUGAGAGGCUGGUUAGCCACACUGAGACUGAGACACGGCCCAGAAUCCUACGGGAGGCAGCAGUGCGGGAUGUUGGAAAACGGGCGGAGGGCUGAACCAGCACGGCCGCGAAAGUGAUGAAAGCCUUAAAGUAGAAAAGCUCAUUUACCCGGGAUGAUAAUGACAGUACCGAAAGAAAAAGCUCCGGCUAACUCCGUG
Molecule: ribosomal RNA, 433 nt
Filed under: uncultured bacterium
Lineage: Bacteria
Description: partial 16S ribosomal RNA
Rfam family: Bacterial small subunit ribosomal RNA
Source: RNAcentral